Long non-coding RNA from Carassius auratus (goldfish), 653 nucleotides. RefSeq lists it as uncharacterized. The record is from RefSeq and is a predicted model, not a curated record. NCBI's taxonomy places the organism in Eukaryota, Metazoa, Chordata, Actinopteri, Cypriniformes, Cyprinidae. The transcript is spliced from 3 exons.
UUUGAAAUUAGAACUCUUUUGUAACAUUAUAAAUAUCUUCACUGUCAUUUUUAAUUAAUUUUAUGCUUUUUUUUUUUUUUUGGAGGGAUAAGUGAAAAUUAUUUUCUGUGAUUUAUCUCUCACUAUGUUUUUUCCCCCAUAGACGACUUCGACCAGUGUUUCUGCUCCCUUUCAGAUGAGGAGGUUGAGGAUGAUGUUCAGGUAUACUUACAAGAAGAAUGGAAGGUCAGAAUGGGCUCUGAACAGAGUUUUGGAAAUGGAGUGAUGAAUGGAGUCCCCUCGUCCCACAACAGGAUAACUAAACAGACUGUGGCAUCUACCUUCUGCUUUAUGUGGAGAACUUCAUCAAGGAACCAUCACAAACUUUCAUUUCCAACCUGAACAGAGGACAGUGAAGAAGAAGAGGAAGAGGAGGCAAAUCAAACAACUCAUUCUCAGGCUUCACAGACAGCAAAGGGUUUUAAAAUAGUUUUUUACUUCCUAUGGAUCUCUCAAUGUGACUACUACCUCAACCCCUUCCUAGAGGGUUUUUCAUGGAAGGAAAUUAAAUUUGCAUGUGUGAAAAAUGAAAUGUCAUUUGCUUUGAAAAUUGAUCAUUUGUUCUUGAAAUCCAAUUGAAAAUGUAGCCAUAAAUAAAAUCUAUCAAAAUAAAA